This 440-nucleotide ribosomal RNA is filed under the name uncultured bacterium. RNAcentral describes it as "partial 16S ribosomal RNA". It matches the Rfam family "Bacterial small subunit ribosomal RNA", at positions 338 to 795 of the family's 1533-position model. The record is from RNAcentral.
CCUACGGGUGGCAGCAGUGGGGAAUAUUGGACAAUGGGGGAAACCCUGAUCCAGCGACGCCGCGUGGGUGAGGAAGUAUUUCGGUACGUAAAGCUCUAUCAGCAGGGAAGAAAAUGACGGUACCUGACUAAGAAGCCCCGGCUAACUACGUGCCAGCAGCCGCGGUAAUACGUAGGGGGCAAGCGUUAUCCGGAUUUACUGGGUGUAAAGGGAGCGUAGACGGCGGGGCAAGUCUGGAGUGAAAUGCCGGGGCCCAACCCCGGAACUGCAUUGGAAACUGGGAAGCUGGAGUGCAGGAGAGGCAAGCGGAAUUCCUGGUGUAGCGGUGAAAUGCGUAGAUAUAAGGAGGAACACCGGUGGCGAAGGCGGCCUGCUGGACCGCGACUGACGUUGAGGCUCGAAAGCGUGGGGAGCGAACAGGAUUAGAUACCCUUGUAGUC